RNAcentral lists this transfer RNA (68 nucleotides) under Marmota monax (woodchuck). It matches the Rfam family "tRNA". From Rfam's summary of the family: Transfer RNA (tRNA) molecules are approximately 80 nucleotides in length. Lineage: Eukaryota; Metazoa; Chordata; Mammalia; Rodentia; Sciuridae. The record is from Rfam by way of RNAcentral.
GCUGUGGCUCAGUGGUAGAGCACUUGCCUAACAUGUGUGAGGCACUGGGUUCAAUUCUUAGCACAGCA